This 64-nucleotide transfer RNA is filed under the name Bourletiella arvalis. RNAcentral describes it as "tRNA-Ala". Lineage: Eukaryota; Metazoa; Arthropoda; Collembola; Symphypleona; Bourletiellidae. The record is from RNAcentral.
AGAAUAGUAGUUAAUUAUAACGUUUGAAUUGCAAUCAGAAAGUACUUUCUUGAAGUCUAUUUUA